UUUUUUUUUUUUUUGUCUUUUUGCCUUUUCUUGGGCUGCUCCAGAGGCAUAUGGAGGUUCCCAGAAAUGGUAAAAAGACAAAAAAUAAAAAAAUAAAAUAAAUUAAAAAAAAAUCACAUCUUGGAGUUCCCUGGAGAUGCAGUGGGUUCAAGAUCUGGCACUGUCACUGCAGCUGUUGGGUCAUACUGUGGGCAUGGCCAAAAAAUUGUUUUAAGGUGAGACAAGAAAAAUGUAAACGGAAAACUUUUUCUCUGCCCCUUGGCCUGCUUGCUGACGUGCCCUGCACACCUGCAUCAUGCAUUCAACAAUUGUGCUGGCGUAUGGGUGACUUCACAGUGUCGCGAGUUUCCGUGACCCACAUGUGUGCGUGGAUCCACUCUUUCUCCCAGAAUGUUGAGUAGAGCCCCCUGUGCUCCGCAGCAGGUUCCUGUUAAUCAUCUACUUUGUGUUCAGCCGUGUGUGUGUGUUAUUUCUGCCCCCCUAACUUACCCCCCCCAGGUCACCAUAACACGAUGUGCAGUAACGAGACCGCCUCCAGGACGGAAAUACCUGCUCUUCCACAAACCCCCUUUCCUCCCGACGCCAGCCACACUGCCCCUCGGAGGACGGCAUCCUUUCUCGGUCCUGCAAGGGGUCACCUGACCCACCCCUUGCCUGCCUGUACCUGCAGGGGUCUUUGGUGAACGUUGCCUAUGAUGCCAACACAUCGUUUCCGUAGAGAUCACAGCUGGUGCACAGCAGACUGGGGGCGGGGGGCGGAUCCCGGGCCGCGCCUCGGUCCUUGCGCCUCGUGGACAUGCUUGGCCUCGGUGCGUGUUUACGACCAUGUGAGUGUCACUAGCUCGUGUGCUGCCUGUUGCCCAGGAUUCUUGGGUGCCUGAGCUUCCGAUAAAUGCACGAGGAUCGGGAGACUUCCAGGGAGGGACCCCAGACGGAUCUGUAAGAUCCGAGACGGCAGGCGCCUCACACUCAACGUGAGAAGAAGCAACGAGAGGGAAGGGUGGCAGAUGAGGCCUGAUGAGGCAGACGGGUGGCCCGGGCCUCAGGUUCCUGUGAACGAGGCCCGGUUCAGUCCUAGCACAAGCGGUGGCCUGUUCACGAGACCCUCCCCGACCCAGGAAGGAGCAUGCUGAGCCCCGGGGACAAACUGGGUGUGAACUGCCCCCUAAAGCUUGGGUGAAAUUAAGGCUGAAAAGGAAGGGGUUUGACGACAAAAAAUGUUGGCCACCGCCCAGUUCUGUAGGAACCGAGCGAGUCACCGGUCCUGGGCCCGGCCCGACGGCUAAGACCGCCUGAGAGGAAUCCAGGGCCCGGGUCAGGAGGGAGGCCCUCUGUGCUUGGGGGAACUGGCAGAAGAGUCCCUCAGAGAGUCAGGUAUCCUCAGGAGGAGAUCUCGAGGAACCAACUUCUUGCCUCUGCCCACAUACGGAAGAGCACUGAGAGGCCUGCUCCCCACGACCCGCAGCGAUCUUUCCACUGAGAGGGCGCUGGGCCGCCCGUACCACCUCCAGGACCCCAUCUCCCCGGCUCCCCCUCUUUGGAACCCCUCUCAGAACCUCCCCGAGAGGCUGUCUCCUGCUCUAUAAUCGCCAGGUUGGCCCGAAGAAAAGGAUUCCUUUCUUUCUCGGAUGGACUGACUCAUUCUGACACCAACACAGCCACCCGGGUGUGACCAACGCAGCCCAUAAAACCAAAGGAGCCCCGUCGCCAACCCCCAAGAGCACCAAGGGGACGGGCCAUCAGACCUCAAAGUAAGAAAGCAAGAGAGGUGAGAACAGGCAGCGCUUGAAAGAGAACCGCGAAAAGGUGCCCCAGGGCGCGGAAAACGGGGAGUGGAUGUUCACAGCCCGGUGUUCCUCCGCGCACGAGCAGAUAAACAAACUGUAGCGCACACAUGCAACGAGGUAUUCAGGAGUUCCUGCGUGGCUCGGCUGGUUAAGAACCCGACAGGCAUCCAUGAGGAUGUGGGUUCAACUCCGGCCUCGCCCAGGGGGUUAGGCUGCAGCGCAGGUCGCUGGUGCUGCGCAGAUCCAGUGUGGCUGUGGCUGUCGCGCCGGCCGGGGCUGCAGCUCCCAUUCGACCCCUAGCCUGGGAGCGUCCAUUCGCCCCGGGUGUGACACACAAAAAAAAGCAAAAGCAAAAGAAAAUAAGAAGGAAAUUCCGACAUAUGCCACAGCAUGAAGGAACCUUGGAGACACUGUGCUUAGUGAGACGAGCCAGAGCAGCCGUGGCGCUCGCGCGGCGCAGAACUGAGAUGGACGGGGGCAGCGGCUGUGGGAGGGGAGCCGGGCAGCGAGCGUUUAGCAGGUACAGAGGUUCAGUUUUGCGAGAUGGAAACCAAGCGCUCUGGAGGCGGGAGGCGUGGAUGGCCCCGCGGCCCUGCGAUGUGCCUCACGCCGCCGUCGGCCUGCUCACCUAAACAGGGUGAGGGGGGUACAUUUUUUUUCCUUCUUUGUAGGGCCACCCCUGCAGGCCUGCACCACAGCCACAGCAAGGCCAGAUCAGCCUCGCAUCUGAGAGCCACGCCGCCGCCAGCAGCCACGCGGGAUCCUCAACCCACUGAUCGCGGCCAGGGGUGGAGCCUGCAUCCUCUUGGAUACUAGCUGGGUUCUUAACCCACUGAGCCCCAACGGGAAUGCCUACGAGGGCACAUUUUAUGUUUUGGGUAUUCUACCACAAUUUUAAAAAAGAAACCUCGCAGUCAAAACCAACAACAAUGAACAAGGCAAUGACACCCUGAGCCGGCAAGAGUUGGGGGUGAGUGGACCCCUUUACAUCAGGCUGGUGGGUACCAGUAGGCACAGCCUUUGCGGCAGCACCGGAGGCAGAUGCCCUCUGACCCAGCCACCUGGGAAUCCGGGCAGUGUGAAAAUGGGCAAGGCUGGCUUGCCUGCCUGCGUGGGGGCCACCAGGACUCUGUAACGAGCAAAGAGUAGAGGCUGGGGCGUAGUGAGGACCCAUGGGGUGUCACCUGCAGUGACAACAGAGCAUUUCACAGUCAGGAGAAGGUGGCUCCUUUCUAGAAAUAUAAAUGGCAUUUUAAUGCCAGGGUGGAAAAAUUGUAAUUAACUCCCACUUUAAUUCAUUGCUGAAAAUGGUAUCUAUAAACUCUUCAACUAAGAUAUUUAAUUACCUAUUUAAGAAAUAACUUGUUUGAGAAAGAAAGGAUAGAAAACAGUACGUGAUUAAUGGUUCCAGUUUUGACCAAAGAUCAUUCAUUCACUAAGACAGACUCUAGAAAAUCUCACAAACAUCAAAGCCACAAAUUCAAGCCAUAUAUGUAAC
RNAcentral lists this long non-coding RNA (3285 nucleotides) under Sus scrofa (pig). Its description in RNAcentral is "lncRNA (ENSSSCG00025001997.1)". Lineage: Eukaryota; Metazoa; Chordata; Mammalia; Artiodactyla; Suidae. The record is from RNAcentral.